AAGACUAGACGUUCACCAUGACUUUCUAUAAUUCCCCUCCCUCCUCUUUUUUGCCCCUGCUCUUCCUUUCUUCCUUCCUUUCCAUUGAUGCUUAGAUAGUGUUACCAAAGCAAAAAGUAGUAGCUAUAAUUACCCUCAAUGCUAUAGCACCUCUCCCUCUUGGUGUUAUAUAUUUCUUUGUUUAUUUAUUAUGUUUCCCUUUCCCCAAUUAGCAUGUAAGCUUAGUGAACACAGAAACUUUGUCUAUUUUGAUGUCA
RNAcentral lists this long non-coding RNA (257 nucleotides) under Pan troglodytes (chimpanzee). RNAcentral describes it as "long non-coding RNA NONPTRT011319". Lineage: Eukaryota; Metazoa; Chordata; Mammalia; Primates; Hominidae. The record is from RNAcentral.